AUUGAACGCUGGCGGCAUGCUUUACACAUGCAAGUCGAACGGUAACAGGCCUUCGGGUGCUGACGAGUGGCGAACGGGUGAGUAAUGCAUCGGAACGUGCCCAGAGGUGGGGGAUAACGCAGCGAAAGCUGUGCUAAUACCGCAUGUGAUCUGAGGAUGAAAGCGGGGGACCAAGCAGCAAUGUUUGGCCUCGCGCCUCUGGAGCGGCCGAUGUCAGAUUAGGUAGUUGGUGGGGUAAAGGCCUACCAAGCCGACGAUCUGUAGCUGGUCUGAGAGGAUGACCAGCCACACUGGGACUGAGACACGGCCCAGACUCCUACGGGAGGCAGCAGUGGGGAAUUUUGGACAAUGGGCGCAAGCCUGAUCCAGCAAUGCCGCGUGCGGGAAGAAGGCCUUCGGGUUGUAAACCGCUUUUGUACGGAACGAAAAGGCUCUGGCUAAUACCUGGGGCUGAUGACGGUACCGUAAGAAUAAGCACCGGCUAACUACGUG
Molecule: ribosomal RNA, 492 nt
Filed under: uncultured bacterium
Lineage: Bacteria
Description: partial 16S ribosomal RNA
Rfam family: Bacterial small subunit ribosomal RNA
Source: RNAcentral